Molecule: ribosomal RNA, 764 nt
Filed under: uncultured bacterium
Lineage: Bacteria
Description: bacterial SSU rRNA
Rfam family: Bacterial small subunit ribosomal RNA
Source: RNAcentral
CUCNUGGUGUAGCGGUGGAAUGCGCAGAUAUCAGGAAGAACACCGGUGGCGAAGGCGGGUCUCUGGNCCGUUACUGACGCUGAGGAGCGAAAGCGUGGGGAGCGAACAGGAUUAGAUACCCUGGUAGUNCACGCUGUAAACGUUGGGCACUAGGUGUGGGGGCCACCCGUGGUUUNUGCGCCGUAGCUAACGCUUUAAGUGCCCCGCCUGGGGAGUACGGCCGCAAGGCUAAAACUCAAAGGAAUUGACGGGGGCCCGCACAAGCGGCGGAGCAUGCGGAUUAAUUCGAUGCAACGCGAAGAACCUUACCAAGGCUUGACAUGCACGGCGGCACUGCAGAGAUGUGGUGGCAUUUAGUUGGUCGUGUGCAGGUGGUGCAUGGUUGUCGUCAGCUCGUGUCGUGAGAUGUUGGGUUAAGUCCCGCAACGAGCGCAACCCUUGCCCUAUGUUGCCAGCACGUGAUGGUGGGGACUCGUGGGGGACUGCCGGGGUUAACUCGGAGGAAGGUGGGGAUGACGUCAAAUCAUCAUGCCCCUUAUGUCUUGGGCUUCACGCAUGCUACAAUGGUUGGUACAGAGGGUUGCGAUAUCGUGAGGUGGAGCGAAUCCCUUAAAGCCAGUCUCAGUUCGGAUUGGGGUCUGCAACUCGACCCCAUGAAGGUGGAGUCGCUAGUAAUCGCAGAUCAGCAACGCUGCGGUGAAUACGUUCUCGGGCCUUGUACACACCGCCCGUCACGUCACGAAAGUUGGUAACACCCGAAGCCC